AAAGAAAUAAAAAACGGAUAUAUUAUUAAAAAAUUCACCCCCGUACAGUGUGUGCCCAUGAGGAUACACAGUAACUAUAUCAGACCAUUAUGUUUCUUUGUACUAGGCUGUAAACAUUUUCAUUUCUAAUGUAAAACCCGACAUUUUUAAGGGUGGUGUGUAUGUGACUUCCGGGGCUCCUGGAGCCAGCCUCAAGUGGACCCUCGACGAACUGCAGGAUUUUGCACUUCCGCAUUGGCUUAAAUUUUCAACCCUUGAGGUUAAGGGUAUAUCAUGUCAACAUAUCAACAUAUCAUGUUGUAAAAACCCCAGCGCCUGUCCGUACUCUAUUGUUAACUGUGUAUUUUUGGCGAGCAAACUUGAAAUGAAAGGAACUGUAACAUUUAUGUCAACCCUGCGAAAUGUUGAAAAUAAACUCACAUUUUAUA
This is a long non-coding RNA of Labrus mixtus (cuckoo wrasse), 428 nucleotides long. RefSeq lists it as uncharacterized. NCBI's taxonomy places the organism in Eukaryota, Metazoa, Chordata, Actinopteri, Labriformes, Labridae. The record is from RefSeq and is a predicted model, not a curated record. The transcript is spliced from 2 exons.